Molecule: long non-coding RNA, 265 nt
Filed under: Coffea arabica (coffee)
Lineage: Eukaryota; Viridiplantae; Streptophyta; Magnoliopsida; Gentianales; Rubiaceae
Description: long non-coding RNA (CARA_LNC001287)
Source: RNAcentral
UGAUGGUGGGUUCCGGUGUCGGCAACGACAAACCUGGUCGCGGCCUUUCCCUUCUUGCUUCUGCUUUUCUUUUUUUCACCAAGCUUGCCGAAGCCCUCUGUCCUAGUUUCCUUCCUCCUGCUCUGUUUCGUUCUCUCUUUUUUUUUUUAGACGAAACCCUCUUCAAUCCCUCCCCUUUUCUUAGUUUUGGCGAAGCUCUCUGUCUGUCGCCCAUUUCUUUUCUCUGUUUGUCCUUCUUUUCCCUAGCCGAGAGCUCUCUCUCUCG